RNAcentral lists this small RNA (125 nucleotides) under Marmota monax (woodchuck). Lineage: Eukaryota; Metazoa; Chordata; Mammalia; Rodentia; Sciuridae. The record is from RNAcentral.
GCUGGGCAUAGUGGUGCACACCUGUAAUCCCAGUGGCUCGGGAGGCUGAGAUAGGAGGAUCAUGAGUUCAAAGCCAAUCUCAGCAAAAGUAAGGUGCUAAGCAACUCAGUGAGACCCUGUCUCUA